This 450-nucleotide ribosomal RNA is filed under the name uncultured bacterium. Its description in RNAcentral is "partial 16S ribosomal RNA". It matches the Rfam family "Bacterial small subunit ribosomal RNA", at positions 338 to 795 of the family's 1533-position model. The record is from RNAcentral.
CCUACGGGGGGCAGCAGUAGGGAAUAUUGGACAAUGGGCGAAAGCCUGAUCCAGCCAUGCCGCGUGGUAGAUGAAGGCCCUCUGGGUUGUAAAUACCUUUUAUCUGGGAAGAAAUAUCUCGUUCUCGAGAAACUGACGGUACCAGAUGACUAAGCACCGGCUAACUCCGUGCCAGCAGCCGCGGUAAUACGGAGGGUGCACGCGUUAUCUGGAUUUACUGGGUUGGUAGGGGGCGUUAGCGGGAUUAUGAGAAAGCCCCGAGCUUAACUUGGGAAUUGCCAUUGAUACUGUUUUUCUUGAAUACGAUUGCGGUAAGCGGAAUGUUGCAUGUAGCGGUGAAAUGCUUAGAUAUGUUACAGAACACCAAUUGCGAAGGCAGCUUACUAAGUCGUCAUUGACGCUGAGGCACGAAAGCGUGGGGAGCAAACAGGAUUAGAUACCCUUGUAGUC